AACAGAGAGAAGAUGACGCAGA
This 22-nucleotide non-coding RNA is filed under the name Mus musculus (house mouse). The record is from RNAcentral. Lineage: Eukaryota; Metazoa; Chordata; Mammalia; Rodentia; Muridae.